Molecule: long non-coding RNA, 1139 nt
Organism: Lolium rigidum
Lineage: Eukaryota; Viridiplantae; Streptophyta; Magnoliopsida; Poales; Poaceae
Exons: 2
Source: RefSeq, a predicted model, not a curated record
GAGUCGCCGCCCCGUCGGCCCAUCGCGGGGACUCACGGCCCCGACCUCUCCGUCGCUGCCACCGUCAUCCAAACCAUGUGUUCCAUGGGUCAAAAGUGAUCGACGGCCAUCAGUUCAUCAAAAUCAAAAGCAGGCCAUCAGAGUCAGCGGCCACCGCCCGCCUCCCGUUAGUGCCGUGUCUCGCCGGGGUUCAAAACCACCGAUCCACCAUUCUCUUGAACAGCUGGGCAGAGCAUAUACGGGAGUAAACCAAGUGUGCUAGUUAUCUUCGUGGUCAAUUUGUGUGAUCAUCGUGAUCAUGGUUCUCUUACCGGCCUGAGAGGUUGUUGAGGUAGCUGUUUAACUUUAUUCUUAUGAAGAAUUCUUCGAUAUACCGAAAUCAGGCAAAGGGACAUCGUACCUAACCCUGUAAUACAAUAGAGUUAACAGAAGAGGGCAGGUUUUGCAUGCCACCGUUAAUGAUGUAACCGUUGUACCUUUUGUCAGCGGGCAAGUAUGUUGUCUGCUUGCUUCUAUUGCUUGGCUCGUGCAUGUGUUGGAUAAUCCUUUUAAAAUUCCAGGUGCCUUUCUUUUCAUGGUGCAUAUGAAGCUCUCAAUCAGUGUUUUAUUGAGCUUUUGUUCACAAUACCUAAUAAACUCUUGUAGUUAAUGAACUAGUGUAUAGAUCUCACAGUCUUCCCUGUGUUUCACGUUUGCUGUUGCAGAAGGGGUCUACGAAUUUACUGUUUUUAAAAAAGAAGGGGUUUCAAGGAGCUGGAGUGGUUCGCCGACAUGGACCUGUUCCACCACGAUCAUUCGCUCGCCGCCAAGAGGGGCAGAACCAUGCAGAGGUCCCAAAGCUCUUCAGCUCGCCGCAGCCCGCGAGCAACGCAAGCUUCUACAAGACAGUCGGUGUGCGCCAGAGCAAAAGGGCACGGGUGGAGCUGGCUAACGACGACGAGGACUACCUCAUCGUCCCUGAUCUUGGAGGAGAUAUCUGAAUUAAACAGUUCUUAACUACAAUAUAUAUGUGUGACGAUGUAGUAAUAUUCAUGCAUGUAUGCAAAGUAUAUACUAGCGUUUUGUUUAGUUGCCAAUGAACAUAUGACACUAUAAUACAAUUCGAGGAAAUAAUUCCAGAACGAAAUGGGUUUCAGGCA